GCAUGGCAGGGGGAGGUUUUUUUCCCCAGGCAAAUGUAAAUUUGAGCAAGGUCUGACCAAAGACAAAGACAAGCACAUUUGCCUGCCAGGCAAACAAAGCCAGCAGGCGAGCAAGUGGGGAGGAAAGGGUGAUCCCUUAAUCUCAAUGGGAAUGGAGGCUGCAUCCUAAGGAAGCAGAGCCAAUGAGCUUUGGGAGAGAUACCUUUAAAAGGUUUAUUGGACUAUAAAGAGAGGGGCAGAGAGCCCUUUUGUUAUCCUUCACCUGUGCUGACAAGGAAAAUCAGUGUCUCGGACUCUGUGGCCAUCCUGACUAAGGCUUAGUCAGCCAUUGCUGGAAAAGGAAGACUGGCUAUUUUCUUCCUUCAGAUCUGCUCCAUCCUCCUGACACACCUGAGACAUUCUAUCUGGAUAAAUCAAUGUGUUGUACAGAGAAACUUUUGCUGUUGAAGUUGAGAACCAUCUCAAAGUGAACAAUAAAACUCGGGCUAGAGGAUGUUAAUUUC
Molecule: long non-coding RNA, 503 nt
Organism: Mauremys reevesii (Reeves's turtle)
Lineage: Eukaryota; Metazoa; Chordata; Testudines; Geoemydidae
Exons: 2
Source: RefSeq, a predicted model, not a curated record